Molecule: ribosomal RNA, 468 nt
Filed under: uncultured bacterium
Lineage: Bacteria
Description: partial 16S ribosomal RNA
Rfam family: Bacterial small subunit ribosomal RNA
Source: RNAcentral
GACGAACGCUGGCGGCGUGCUUAACACAUGCAAGUCGAACGGAAAGGCCCUGCUUUUGUGGGGUGCUCGAGUGGCGAACGGGUGAGUAACACGUGAGUAACCUGCCCUUGACUUUGGGAUAACUUCAGGAAACUGGGGCUAAUACCGGAUAGGAGCUCCUGCUGCAUGGUGGGGGUUGGAAAGUUUCGGCGGUUGGGGAUGGACUCGCGGCUUAUCAGCUUGUUGGUGGGGUAGUGGCUUACCAAGGCUUUGACGGGUAGCCGGCCUGAGAGGGUGACCGGCGACAUUGGGACUGAGAUACGGCGCAGACUCCUACGGGAGGCAGAAGUGGGGAGUAUUGCACAAUGGGCGGAAGCCUGAUGCGGCAACGCCGCGUGCGGGAUGACGGCCUUCGGGUUGUAAACCGCUUUCGCCUGUGACGAAGCGUGAGUGACGGUAAUGGGUAAAGAAGCACCGGCUAACUACGUG